This 1117-nucleotide ribosomal RNA is filed under the name bacterium. RNAcentral describes it as "bacterial SSU rRNA". It matches the Rfam family "Bacterial small subunit ribosomal RNA", at positions 37 to 1163 of the family's 1533-position model. The record is from RNAcentral.
CAUCGGCAGCUAUACAUGCAGUCGAACGAGAUUCAGGAGCUUGCUCCUCAUGAAAGUGGCGCACGGGUGCGUAACACGUAUGCAACCUACCUUCAAUUGGGGGAUAGCCUUCCGAAAGGGAGAUUAAUACCGCAUAAGAUAUUAGAAUGGCAUCAUUCAGAUAUUAAAACUUUGGUGAUUGAAGAUGGGCAUGCGUUGCAUUAGCUAGUUGGUAAGGUAACGGCUUACCAAGGCUACGAUGCAUAGGGGAUCUGAGAGGAUGGUCCCCCACACUGGUACUGAGAUACGGACCAGACUCCUACGGGAGGCAGCAGUAAGGAAUAUUGGUCAAUGGAGGGAACUCUGAACCAGCCAUGCCGCGUGCAGGACGACGGCCCUAUGGGUUGUAAACUGCUUUUGUCAGGGAAUAAAUCAUUUUACGUGUAGAAUGUUGAAGGUACCUGAAGAAUAAGGAUCGGCUAACUCCGUGCCAGCAGCCGCGGUAAUACGGAGGAUCCAAGCGUUAUCCGGAUUUAUUGGGUUUAAAGGGUGCGUAGGCGGUAAAUUAAGUCAGAGGUGAAAGCCUGCAGCUCAACUGUAGAACUGCCUUUGAUACUGGUUUACUUGAGUACAGAUGAAGUGGGCGGAAUGUGACAAGUAGCGGUGAAAUGCAUAGAUAUGUCACAGAACACCGAUUGCGAAGGCAGCUCACUAAAGUGUAACUGACGCUGAGGCACGAAAGCGUGGGGAUCAAACAGGAUUAGAUACCCUGGUAGUCCACGCCCUAAACGAUGAUUACUCGCUGCCGGCGAUAUACAGUCGGCGGCUAAGCGAAAGCGUUAAGUAAUCCACCUGGGGAGUACGGUCGCAAGAUUGAAACUCAAAGGAAUUGACGGGGGCCCGCACAAGCGGAGGAGCAUGUGGUUUAAUUCGAUGAUACGCGAGGAACCUUACCCGGGCUUGAAAGUUAGUGAAUGAUUUAGAAAUAGAUCAGUGAGCAAUCACACGAAACUAGGUGCUGCAUGGCUGUCGUCAGCUCGUGCCGUGAGGUGUUGGGUUAAGUCCCGCAACGAGCGCAACCCCUAUGAUUAGUUGCCAGCAUUAAGAUGGGGACUCUAAUCAGACUGCCUACGCAAGU